This 840-nucleotide long non-coding RNA is filed under the name Salmo salar (Atlantic salmon). Its description in RNAcentral is "lncRNA (ENSSSAG00000090090.1)". The record is from RNAcentral. Lineage: Eukaryota; Metazoa; Chordata; Actinopteri; Salmoniformes; Salmonidae.
GUCAGGGUUUUCCCUGCAUGGAAAUGGAAUGUGUUGAGGGAAUAUUCUACAGAACCGCUUCGUGGUGGUCCUGCAUCGGUGGCAAUUUGAACCCUUGUCAAUAGAGGUUAAAGUUGAAGAUGACCCCUGGGGGUCAGCCGUUGGGGUCAAGGGUCAGAGGUGAACUAUCGCCACAACAAUCUGACAGACAGACUCCCAAAGGCGUGUAGCCUACGGGCAUGACCAAAUAUAGAGACCCACAACCACGCCACAUCACAAGACAGUGACGGCAUGGACUCAAAGUAGAUGUCACCAUAGCAUUAAGUCUAUCGGAUAUGUCACCUUUGACGCUUGACCUCUAGUGACAUACCCUAGGGGACACCAGUGGUCGAUGACAUCAUCCGACCACAGUCUCCGGUGACAGGCGGGCAGCGUCAGCAUAGCUGGAUGUGACUAAUGGAAAGAUAAAGUUGCUAGGAGUGGUGGUAGGAGUCAGGCGCAGAGAGCAGAGGGACAAUAUUUAAACAACUGUAGCUAUACAUCUUAGCAGUAUCUGUGUGGCUUGGAGUGAUUUAUACAGUCAGCAUCUUUUAGAAAACAGCACAAUUCAUUAAAGAAUACCAAGAACCCUUUGAAUGGCUCACCGCCAAGGACGCUACAGCGGGAGAAGAGAUUUGACAGGAGAGGAGAGAAAAAGAAGAGAUUAAAAAGAAAAGAGACAGAAAGAAAAGAAUCAGAAAUAAAGCCCUGACAGGCACAGAGAGAUUCAUAGGAUGUAACCCCCCCAUAUGAUAACAUACUAGCCAAUCAGAGAGAAAUGAAAUGUGCAAUUAACCACUAGGCAGGAAGUAGGAGGCGUGU